RNA transcript from Phycodurus eques (leafy seadragon), 5930 nucleotides. It is a transcript of the gene named nucleolar protein 10, with no coding region annotated. Lineage: Eukaryota; Metazoa; Chordata; Actinopteri; Syngnathiformes; Syngnathidae. The record is from RefSeq and is a predicted model, not a curated record. The transcript is spliced from 23 exons.
UUCCUGUUUAGCACCGAGGCACCAACGUGGGUUCAGUAGAAUUCCCAUCUUUGUUAAGAUUCAAAAAUGCAAAUAUCAAGUGUGAAUGAUGUGAAAAUUUAUAAUUUAAGCCAUGGAAAGUCACUUCCAGAGUGGCUGACAGAUCGUAAGAAGAGACAACUGCAAAAGAAAGAUGUUGACAUCCAGCGUAGGAUUGAGCUCAUCCAGGAUUUUGAGAUGCCCACAGUGUGCACGUCCAUAAAGGUAUCCAGAGAUGGGCAGUUCAUCCUGGCAGCAGGGACUUACAAGCCCAGGAUUCGAUGUUAUGACACCUACCAUCUUUCGUUGAAGUUUGAACGCUGCUUGGAUUCUGAUGUUGUGGCCUUUGACAUACUGUCUGAUGACUACUCAAAGCUUGUGUUCCUGCACUCUGACCGUUAUGUGGAGUUCCAUUCCCAGCACGGUCACUACUACAAAACACGAAUUCCAAAGUUUGGAAGGGAUUUUUCUUACCAUUACCCCUCGUGUGACCUUUAUUUUGUUGGAUCUAGUUCCGAGAUCUAUCGACUGAAUCUUGAACAAGGCCGCUUCCUGAACUCACUUCAGACAGAUGCUGUGGAGCACAAUGUGUGUGACAUCAACCCUGUCCAUCAUUUGUUUGCCAGUGGAACCUCUGAGGGAAAGGUGGAAUGCUGGGACCCUCGUGUCUGGAAGCGAGUGGGCCUUCUGGACUGUGCCCUGAGCAGCCUCACAGAAGGAAUGGAAGUUCAGAGUUUGCCCUCAAUAAGUGCACUGAAGUUUAGCGGUUCGCUCAUCAUGGCAGUAGGCACCAGCACUGGUCAGGUGCUGUUGUAUGACCUGCGCUCCAGCCAGCCGCUGCUUGUGAAAGACCACUUCUACAACCUGCCCAUCAAGUCUCUCAAUUUCCAUGACCAAAUGGACCUGGUUGUGUCGGCAGACGCUAAAAUAAUAAAAAUCUGGAACAAAGACAGUGGCAAAAUGUUUUCCUCAAUCCAGCCUGAGAGCAACAUUAAUGAUAUUUGCAUGUACCCCCAGUCAGGUAUGCUUUUCACCGCCAAUGAAGAUCCAAAGAUGAACACAUUCUACAUUCCGGCUCUUGGCCCAGCACCUCGUUGGUGUUCCUUCCUAGAUAACCUGACAGAGGAGCUGGAGGAGAGCCCUGAGAGCACUGUGUAUGACGACUACAAGUUUGUCACCCGCAAGGACCUGGAAACUUUGGGUCUUUCUCAUCUGGUGGGAUCAUCCCUCCUGAGGGCGUACAUGCAUGGCUAUUUCAUGGACAUCAGGCUCUACCAUAAGGUCAAAAGCAUGGCAAAUCCUUUUGCUUAUGAGGAGUAUCGUAAGGAUAAGAUCCGACAGAAGAUUGAAGAGACGAGGACCCAGCGAGUACUGGUUAAGGCAUUGCCCAAAGUCAACAAGGAGCUGGCUUUGAAGCUGAUGGAAGAGGGUGACGAAGUGGAGUUGGCUUCCAGGAAAAAGAAGGGCAAGGCUCUACCCACCAUUUUGGGCGACAACCGUUUCAAGGUGAUGUUUGAAAACCCAGACUAUCAAGUGGAUGAGCAGAGCGAGGCGUUCCGCCUGCUCAACCCCAUCGUCUCCAAAGUUAGCCAGAAGAGGAAAAAGCAGUUGCGGCUACUAGCUCAAGAUGCUACUUCACAAGAGGAUCAGGAAAAUGAGGAGGAGGGUCGAGCCAGUUCUGAGGAGGAAAGCUCAGAUGAUGAAAAGAGCUGGGUGGAGGAGGUGAGGGAGCAGCGGAGACUGCUCUGGCAAGAGGAGCGAGACCGCCAGUAUCAGCAGAGGAAGGACACUGACCGCAACACAGUCUUGCUGGAGAGCAAAUGCAGUGAAGGGCAGAAAAGCUUCAUCACGGCUGAGAACAAGAAGCGGAGCCAGCCUCAGUUCUAUCAGAUUAAAAGCGGGGAGGAGUUUCGCAGUUUUAAUGACGUGUCACGCAAGCAGAAACUUCAGAAGGCAUCCCUGGAGGAGCGUCUGAAGUUAGAGGAACACUCUGGAACCAGCAACGUGGCUGACACCACAGUGGGCAGCAAACAGCUUACUUUUAGACUCAAAAAGUCUGAGCAGCAAAGGAAGCAGCAGCAGGCGGAGCGGGACCACCAUGAGGAGAGGAAGAAGCUAAGACGAUCAGCCGGACACCUGAGCAGCGCCCGUGGGAGGGGCUGGGCAGGUGGCAUAAGAAGAGGACGAGGACGAGGACGAGGACGAGGAAGAGGACUGCACUGAGGAGGGAAGCCCCAUCUGCAGCUCAAGUCAAAGCUACACCAAUUAGGCAGAUGUCCUGAAUAGCUAAAGGUUGAUGUUUUUAAAACACGUGUCAAGUGGUCAAGGCUAAAACUGACAACAGAUGGAUGUAUGUAUGCUUUUAUUAUAUAUAUAUAUAUAUAUAUAUAUAUAUAUAUAUAUAUAUACAUACACACACACACACACACACACAUUCAUUUGUUUUUGUUGAAUACUGAGGACAUUUACAUUCAGAUAAAAAAAAAUGAAUAUGAGACAAAAGUUCAGAAUCCCAGCUUUCAUUUCAUGGUAUUUACAUCGAGAUGUGUUAAACAACUCGGGACAGAGAAUCCUUUGUUUGAAACCACCCACUUUUCAAGUGAGCAAAAUUAUUGGAAGAUGUGAUUGAUGGGUGUUUUCCAGUUGUUCUGGUGUUGCCUUUUAGAUUGAUUGCUCAAACAUUAGCUAGUUCUUGUUUUUGGCUUUGGGUUUUACCUAUGAAAACUGCAUCUGCUAUUAAGCAAACAUGAGGACCCAAGUGGUCUAUGGGAGAAAAGCAAACCAUUUUGAAGCUGAGAGGAAGGAAAAUCAAUCAGAGCUAUUGCACAAAUAUUGGGCAUAGCCAAUACAACAAUUUGGAAUGUCCCGAAAAAGAGAAACUACUGGUGUACUGAAAAACAGACAUCGAACAGGUCGGCCAAGGGUAUCAACACCAGUUGAUGAAAGAAUCAUUGUGAGAGCUGUGAAGAAACACCCAAAGACAAGUCACUGAUGUCACUGCCAAACUGCACAUGGCAAGGAUGAAGGUAUCACAUUCGUAUAUACUGUAUACAUGUAUAGAUACAGCGGCUGAAAUAAGUAUUUAACACGUCACCGUUUUUCUCACUAAAUAUAUUUUCAAAGUCGCUAUUGACAAAUUAUUACCAGAUGUUGGGACAACCCAACUAAUCCAUACAUUAUAAGAAAGAAUAACAAAUAAGACCAGAAAUUAAGUUGUAUGUAAUGUGAAAUGACACGGAAAAGGUGGAGGUGCAAAAAGGCAUGGAAAGCCAAGACAACACCUAAAAUCUCACUGGGGAACACAAUUUUUGUUGAUCGGUUUGACAGCUGUGUUUAACAAAUGUUUGGGUGCGGAAUCCAAAAUUGAUCUCAGUUUUUCUCUAUUAUGUCAACUUUUUGAAAAAAGUGGAACAAAGGAAAUAUAUACCGAUGUAAAUAAAACACUAAGCUUGAAUAAUUACAAGCUUUGAAAACUAAAAAAAACAGCAUAAAACGAAAUAGAACUUACAACGGUAUGCCCAUGGAUACAAGGUUAAGAGAAAAGCCAGCACAAAUUCUCUUAGUUCGAACUAUGCCAGCUUUCUGUUUGCAGGUAUUGAUAGUACUGACUUAUUGGGAGGUGCACCUCUCAAUUGUGACUGCAAAAACAAAUUCCCAUGUAGCUGUAGAUAAGUCCAAUCGUAAUCAGCUGGCUCAUUACUACAGAUAAUCAGUGGAAUUUUGCUUAUCUGGAGGGUAAGCUGUGGAGAAAGAACUUGACGUGCUAGAAAAAAAACUGACUGCAAUUUUGGAAUCAGCAUGCCAAUUUUAGUUUUAAUCAGCAUAGAAAUCUAACUCAACAGAUUUUUUUUUCUAAUUGUUCCCUGAUUCAGCCCCGUGUCAGUGCAAAUGAAUAUCAGCUGGUUCAGUCCUAAUUGAUAACCUAAUAAAAGGUCUCCUUGCCAAGGUAAGAGCAGAGAGCUGUCUCAAGACCAUCACAAACUAUCCACCCAUUUUCUGAGCCGCUUAUCCUCAAAAGGGAAGGCGGGGUACACCCUGAACUGGUUGCCAGCCAAUCGCAGUGCACAUACAAACAAACAAACAACCAUCCGCACUCACAUUCACACCUAUGGGCAAUUUAGAGUCUUCAAUUAACUUACCAUGCAUGUUUUUGGGAUGUGGGAGGAAACCGGAGUGCCCGGAGAAAACCCACGCAGGCAUGGGGAGAACAUGCAAACUCCACACAGGCGGGGCUGGGGAUUGAACUCAGGUCCUCAGAACUGUGAGGCAGACGCUCUAACGAGGCAGACGCUUUAACCAGUCACCCACCGUGCCGCCCAUCACAAACUAAUUGUUGCAAAACAACGGUGGCAUUUGUUACAGGCACAUAUCUAAGCUUCUGAAUGUUCCAGUGUGCAAGGUUGGGGCCAUAAUACGGAAGUGGACAGCCAAUCAUACUACCAUAAAUUUGCCUCGAUCAGGCGCUCCUAACAAGAUUUCUGACAGAGGAGUGCAAAGAAUAAUCAGGAGAGAUGUCCAAGAGCCAAAGACCACCUGUGGACAGCUUAAAAAAGAUCUGGAACUAGCAGGUACUGUUGUCACAAGGAAAACCGUGAGUAACUCGCCGUCACAGACUGUAUGCACACUCCACGCAAGACCCCAUUGGUGCGGGGGGGGAAAGCAGGUCAAAGCUCGUUUCAGGUUUGCUGAACAACAUUUGGACAAGCCCAUUAAAUACUGGGAGAAUAUGGUCUGAUAAGAGCUAAAUUGAACUCUUUGGAUGCUAUUAUGCACACCACGUUUGGAGGAGAAAUGGCACUGCACAUAACCUGAAAAACACCAUACCAACAGUGAAGUUCAGAGGUGGGAACAUGAUGGUGUGGGGCUGCUUUUCAGCAAAUGGUACUGGUAAGCUUAACAUUAUUGAAGGAAGGAUGAAUGGUCAAAUGUACCGAGGUAUUCUUUAUAAAAAUCUGAGGAUGAUGAAAAUGAAACAAGGGUGAACAUUUCAUCAGGAUAAUGAUCCAAAACAUACUGCCAAGGAAACACUCAAUUGGUUUCAAAGGGGGGGGGAAAUAAAGCUGGUAGAAUCCAAUCGAAAAUCUAUGGAAAGAACUGAAACUCAAGGUCCAUAAAAGAAGCCCACGGAACCUUCAAGGUUUUAAGACUGCUUGUGUGGAGGAAUGAGCCAAAAACACACUAGAGCAAUGCAUGUGACUAGUUUCUCCACACAGAAGGUGUCAUUGCAAACAAAGGCUUUGGUACAAAGUAUUAAAUAAAUACCAGUUGCCGUGUUCAAUACUUUUCCCCUGUGUCAUUUCACAUGAUUACACAUAACUUAAUUUCUCAUCUUAUUUGUUUUACUUUCUUUGUAUGUAUGGAUUACUUGGGUUGUUCCCAACAUCUGGUGAAAUUUUCAUGUCAAUAGCACCUUGGGAAAUAUAUUUAGUGAGAAAAAUGGUGACGUGUUAAAUACUUAUUUCAGCUGCUGUACAUACAUGAGAUGCAAGGACUCGAGCAUAUGCUUCAGCCGGGAUAAAAGAGCCGGUAUCCUUUGUAGCAGCUAAGCACCUACUUGCGUCAGCAGUGAAAGAAGGGGAGGAAUGGAAUAUUUAACUUGGUGAGAUCCAUCCUACAAGAAGUGAAACAUGAGAUUCGUCAAACUUAAGAAUGAAUCAACAUAAAGAAAAAUAUUCAACACCAUCAUCCCUGAACUCCUUUCCUCCAAGCUUCUCCAGCUCAGCGUCUCGCCUGCUAUCUUCCAGUGGAUUUACAGCUUCCUGACGGGCAGGACACAGCAGGUGAGGCUGGAAGAGACCACCUCAUCCACACGCAGCAUCAGCACUGGGGCGCCCCAAGGUUGUGUCCUCUCUCCGCUGCUCUUCUCUCUACACGAACUGCUGCACCUCAACGCACCCGGCUGUCAAACUCCU